GCGCCCGUAGCUCAACUGGAUAGAGUACGUGGCUUCGAACCACGGGGUUGCAGGUUCAAGUCCUGCCGGGCGCA
This is a non-coding RNA of Candidatus Ryanbacteria bacterium, 74 nucleotides long. NCBI's taxonomy places the organism in Bacteria, Candidatus Ryaniibacteriota. The record is from Rfam.